AUCCAAUUGACGAGUCAGAACUAAGACGAAACGCGCGUCCUGGAU
Molecule: non-coding RNA, 45 nt
Organism: Schistosoma rodhaini
Lineage: Eukaryota; Metazoa; Platyhelminthes; Trematoda; Strigeidida; Schistosomatidae
Source: Rfam